GAGUCUGUAGCCUAGUUGGUAAAGGCAGCACCAAGCACUCUGGAUGCUGAGUUCAUGGGUUUGACUCCCAUCAGACACA
RNAcentral lists this transfer RNA (79 nucleotides) under Uromyces viciae-fabae. RNAcentral's name for it is "tRNA-Gln (CTG) (tRNA-Gln-CTG-4-1)". It matches the Rfam family "tRNA". From Rfam's summary of the family: Transfer RNA (tRNA) molecules are approximately 80 nucleotides in length. Lineage: Eukaryota; Fungi; Basidiomycota; Pucciniomycetes; Pucciniales; Pucciniaceae. The record is from RNAcentral.